This 1329-nucleotide ribosomal RNA is filed under the name metagenome. Its description in RNAcentral is "bacterial SSU rRNA". It matches the Rfam family "Bacterial small subunit ribosomal RNA", at positions 52 to 1429 of the family's 1533-position model. The record is from RNAcentral.
UACAUGCAAGUCGAACGCACCUUCGGGUGAGUGGCGGACGGGUGAGUAACGCGUGGGAAUCUGCCCUUAGGAGGGGGAUAACGGCUGGAAACGGCCGCUAAUACCCCAUAUGCCGAGAGGUGAAACGAAUUUCGCCUGAGGAUGAGCCCGCGUCUGAUUAGCUAGUUGGUGGGGUAAGAGCCCACCAAGGCGACGAUCAGUAGCUGGUCUGAGAGGAUGAUCAGCCACACUGGGACUGAGACACGGCCCAGACUCCUACGGGAGGCAGCAGUGGGGAAUUUUCCGCAAUGGGCGAAAGCCUGACGGAGCAACGCCGCGUGAGGGAUGAAGGCCUCUGGGCUGUAAACCUCUUUUCUCAAGGAAGAAGACAUGACGGUACUUGAGGAAUAAGCCACGGCUAAUUCCGUGCCAGCAGCCGCGGUAAUACGGGAGUGGCAAGCGUUAUCCGGAAUUAUUGGGCGUAAAGCGUCCGCAGGCGGCUCUGUAAGUCUGUUGUUAAAGCGUGGAGCUCAACUCCAUUUCAGCAAUGGAAACUACAGGGCUUGAGUGUGGUAGGGGCAGAGGGAAUUCCCGGUGUAGCGGUGAAAUGCGUAGAUAUCGGGAAGAACACCAGUGGCGAAGGCGCUCUGCUGGGCCAUAACUGACGCUCAUGGACGAAAGCCAGGGGAGCGAAAGGGAUUAGAUACCCCUGUAGUCCUGGCCGUAAACGAUGAACACUAGGUGUCGGGGGAAUCGACCCCCUCGGUGUCGUAGCCAACGCGUUAAGUGUUCCGCCUGGGGAGUACGCACGCAAGUGUGAAACUCAAAGGAAUUGACGGGGGCCCGCACAAGCGGUGGAGUAUGUGGUUUAAUUCGAUGCAACGCGAAGAACCUUACCAGGGUUUGACAUCCUGCGAAUCCCUUGGAAACUUGGGAGUGCCUUCGGGAGCGCAGAGACAGGUGGUGCAUGGCUGUCGUCAGCUCGUGUCGUGAGAUGUUGGGUUAAGUCCCGCAACGAGCGCAACCCACGUCUUUAGUUGCCAGCAUUCAGUUGGGCACUCUAGAGAGACCGCCGGUGAUAAACCGGAGGAAGGUGUGGAUGACGUCAAGUCAUCAUGCCCCUUACAUCCUGGGCUACACACGUACUACAAUGCUACGGACAGAGGGCAGCAAGCUCGCGAGAGUUAGCAAAUCCCAUAAACCGUGGCUCAGUUCAGAUCGUAGGCUGCAACUCGCCUACGUGAAGGAGGAAUCGCUAGUAAUCGCAGGUCAGCAUACUGCGGUGAAUACGUUCCCGGGCCUUGUACACACCGCCCGUCACACCAUGGAAGUUGGCCAUGCCCGAAGUCG